This 426-nucleotide ribosomal RNA is filed under the name uncultured Methylophilus sp. Its description in RNAcentral is "bacterial SSU rRNA". It matches the Rfam family "Bacterial small subunit ribosomal RNA", at positions 355 to 774 of the family's 1533-position model. Lineage: Bacteria; Pseudomonadati; Pseudomonadota; Betaproteobacteria; Nitrosomonadales; Methylophilaceae. The record is from RNAcentral.
UGGGGAAUUUUGGACAAUGGGCGCAAGCCUGAUCCAGCCAUUCCGCGUGAGUGAAGAAGGCCUUCGGGUUGUAAAGCUCUUUCGCAAGGGAAGAAAACUUACCAUCGAAUAAAUGGUGAGGCUGACGGUACCUUGAUAAGAAGCACCGGCUAACUACGUGCCAGCAGCCGCGGUAAUACGUAGGGUGCGAGCGUUAAUCGGAAUUACUGGGCGUAAAGCGUGCGCAGGCGGUUUUGUAAGUCAGAUGUGAAAUCCCCGAGCUCAACUUGGGAACUGCGUUUGAAACUACAAGACUAGAAUAUGUCAGAGGGGGGUAGAAUUCCACGUGUAGCAGUGAAAUGCGUAGAGAUGUGGAGGAAUACCAAUGGCGAAGGCAGCCCCCUGGGAUAAUAUUGACGCUCAUGCACGAAGCGUGGGGAGCAAACA